Molecule: ribosomal RNA, 815 nt
Filed under: Staphylococcus aureus
Lineage: Bacteria; Bacillati; Bacillota; Bacilli; Caryophanales; Staphylococcaceae
Description: partial 23S ribosomal RNA
Rfam family: Bacterial large subunit ribosomal RNA
Source: RNAcentral
AGAUUAAGUUAUUAAGGGCGCACGGUGGAUGCCUUGGCACUAGAAGCCGAUGAAGGACGUUACUAACGACGAUAUGCUUUGGGGAGCUGUAAGUAAGCUUUGAUCCAGAGAUUUCYGAAUGGGGAAACCCAGCAUGAGUUAUGUCAUGUUAUCGAUAUGUGAAUACAUAGCAUAUCAGAAGGCACACCCGGAGAACUGAAACAUCUUAGUACCCGGAGGAAGAGAAAGAAAAUUCGAUUCCCUUAGUAGCGGCGAGCGAAACGGGAAGAGCCCAAACCAACAAGCUUGCUUGUUGGGGUUGUAGGACACUCURUACGGAGUUACAAAGGACGACAUUAGACGAAUCAUCUGGAAAGAUGAAUCAAAGAAGGUAAUAAUCCUGUAGUCGAAAAUGUUGUCUCUCUUGAGUGGAUCCUGAGUACGACGGAGCACGUGAAAUUCCGUCGGAAUCUGGGAGGACCAUCUCCUAAGGCUAAAUACUCUCUAGUGACCGAUAGUGAACCAGUACCGUGAGGGAAAGGUGAAAAGCACCCCGGAAGGGGAGUGAAAUAGAACCUGAAACCGUGUGCUUACAAGUAGUCAGAGCCCGUUAAUGGGUGAUGGCGUGCCUUUUGUAGAAUGAACCGGCGAGUUACGAUUUGAUGCAAGGUUAAGCAGUAAAUGUGGAGCCGUAGCGAAAGCGAGUCUGAAUAGGGCGUUUAGUAUUUGGUCGUAGACCCGAAACCAGGUGAUCUACCCUUGGUCAGGUUGAAGUUCAGGUAACACUGAAUGGAGGACCGAACCGACUUACGUUGAAAAGUGAGCGGAUGAACUGA